AUACGGAGGGUGCGAGCGUUAAUCGGAAUUACUGGGCGUAAAGGGUGCGUAGGCGGCUUGAUAAGUCGGAUGUGAAAGCCCCGGGCUUAACCUGGGAAUUGCAUUCGAUACUGUCAGGCUAGAGUAUGUCAGAGGUUGGCGGAAUUCCUGGUGUAGCGGUGAAAUGCGUAGAUAUCAGGAGGAACACCAGUGGCGAAGGCGGCUAACUGGGGCAAUACUGACGCUGAGGCACGAAAGCGUGGGGAGCAAGCAGGAUUAGAGACCCUAGUAGUCC
This 274-nucleotide ribosomal RNA is filed under the name uncultured bacterium. RNAcentral describes it as "partial 16S ribosomal RNA". It matches the Rfam family "Bacterial small subunit ribosomal RNA", at positions 523 to 796 of the family's 1533-position model. The record is from RNAcentral.